This 3424-nucleotide long non-coding RNA is filed under the name Salmo salar (Atlantic salmon). RNAcentral describes it as "lncRNA (ENSSSAG00000086152.1)". The record is from RNAcentral. Lineage: Eukaryota; Metazoa; Chordata; Actinopteri; Salmoniformes; Salmonidae.
CCUUUUUAGGUAGUGAAUUAUGAAACCACUGAUAUGUGGUAUUUUUUUUGUUUUAUUUUUAAACCUGUUUCAGUUUAUUCAGUAUUACAGUAGCAAAUUGUAAUGUGGGUUUACUCCUUAGAUCAGAGUUUCCCAAACUCUGUCCUGCCCCCCCCGGAUGCACAUUUUGGUUUUUGCCCUAGGACUACACAGCUACUAAUCCAAAUAACCAACUAAUCAAGCUUUGAUUAUUUAAAUCAGCUGUGUAGUGCUAGGGCAAAAAAACCUAAAUGUGCACCCAGGAGGGGACCCAGGACUGAGUUUGGGAAAUCCUGGUGGCUCCAAAACAUUUACAAUUAAGUAGAAUUGGUUGAAAGGAAGAAGUGGGGUUUUUCCUUCACUACAAAUGUUAGAUAUGAAGGUAAAAGAUGAGGCAGCCCUUUUAGAAUGAAGGUAUAGCUUUAAUCAUUGGGUGAGUAGUAGACUGCACCCUGUGAGCAGGCAGAGUAUGACCUUUGACCUGUUUUGGAUGCUACAAACCUGAGCAGCCACUGCGUCCUUUCAGUUUGGACAAAUGUUAGGCAGAGCAGGCAGCACUGUUGGGUUGUUCCAACUCCUUCCCCUCCAUACAGUAGAAAUGCCGGUUUAUUUUUAGCAUGGUUUUCUUCUGGAGAUUUCACCUGGCUCUCCAUACAACAACCAUAUAGCUUCCAAAUUCCCCUCUGCUUUGUAUAAAUCUCUAAGUAGAAAAAAAGAAAGUGAAACCUGUGCGCUUCUUUAGUGUCUCAUUGACGUCUUCCUGCAACAAGGAGCUACCCUGGAGUACUCUGCUUAGAAAAGAGGACUUAUUUCGGAGAGAGGAGACAUUGCCUGUAUUGAUAGUCAUUGCUGCUUUUGAUUUGCAUGCUGUUUGGUUUGCAAACACAUUAUUUGGGUAGUUUGAUUCUGAAGGACUGAGAUGCACUUAUAUGGGCGGUCUUAAAUGGCAGAUGUAUAAUUUUUUGUCAUUUUUUCCUGAGAUGGUAUAAAAGACAUGUUGUACCUUAUCUGCUUAUUUAGAAACCAGUGCUGUUUAUUCCAUGAGAUAUCAUUAGUUUCUUUUCAAGAAAAAAAUAUAUACAAUUUUAUAUAUUUUCAAAUGUAUAAUUUCCAUCCUGUGUUUAAAAACUUGAAUUUUAUUUAAACUUGAAAAUGACUUUGCCUUAACUUUUAUACGAGACAACGUAGAGUUAGUUUAUUAUUUUUUUUCAAACCCCAACAUUUUACUAAGGGAGACGCAUGGAAAUAUUUAGUCAUACCUAACGUCAGAAGUCUUACUUGGUCUUAAAGUACAAAUCAAGCAGCAUUUUGGUUUUGUAAAAUUUAUCUCAAGUCUCUUUUGAUUAACCUUGUUCCUUGUUUCUGUUUGAUUUUGGGGGAAAAUAUAAAUCCUGUAAAUGCAAAAUAGUCAAUACUGUAUCAAAUAUGUGCACUUUGAACUGUGUGCUUUGCUUGUACAGUUGUAAAUAAUCAGAAAAUAUAAAGAGGUACCUUAAAAUGAUUUAAAAAAACAUAUAUUGAUCUUGUUGAACUAUUAAUGUCGCUUUUGAGCUGGAUGUAGGAUAACUAAAUGUUUGAAUUUCUUUUUAAAAAUGUUGUUCUGAUGUGAAGAAUUGCGUCUGCCUCACUUUGCAAUGUGGGCAGGCUGUCUGAUUGUAACUUUUUAAAUGUCCUUCUCAUUCCAUUUCCAUGUGUUUUCUCAACAAACAGGUGUUUGUUUCUGUUGUUUAGCCCCUUCACUGUGCACAAUGAGAAAAGGGGAGAACCUACCUGUUGUACAAACACACAUCUUCAAAUGAUAGUACAAAGUCCGUACUCUGUCCUGUGACAGACAGCUUAUAUCAAUCUGAUGUGUGAUUUGGCCCAUAAAACAGUUAUUUAUGAAUCACAAUAAAGCACAUUUUAAGCACAGGAACAUCAAAUCUUUCACACACAACCAAUGUCAAUUCCGCAGCAGCAUAUGGUAUAAUUUGUACCAGACAACCGUUAAUCAUUUGGCCCAAAUUGAUUAAGCAUUGUUGGUAUUUUGUUGAUAUUCUGUCAUUUGUUUUUAUUUGAAGUUUUGUUUUUCAUGAAAAUGUAUAUCAACUGAACUUUUGUAGCCCCCAGAAGUAAUAACUGUACUUUCUUUUUUUUGGUAGGCUUUACCAGUGUUUAGACUCAAUCAUAAUAGUGUAGAUAUUUUUUACACUUAUCAUUUCUGCAAGAAAAUUAGUUCCGGCACACUGUAUAACAUACUGUGCGUUGUCUUUUUGUAUAAUUUGAUCACACACGUGGACUGCAUUUAAUGUGGCAAAAAAAAACAACUGUGCCAUUUAAUUUGUUUCAGCCUGGCAGUUUGUUUGACUUGUACAUAAUAUUUAAGCACCUGCCAUUAUAUUUUGAUAUUUGUUGUUACUCAUGGGAAGUGUAGCUGGUCCAGAAUUAUAAAACUGGGAAUUAAAAUCUGAUACCACUGACAUUAGACAAAGUACUCAUAGCAACCUGCAUCUGACCGGGUAUCUGAUCUGGCUUAUGAAGUCGAGGCAUGUUUGUCUGUAAAUUUAAGCUGGUCUAUGCUAGUAGGCAUAUCUAAUGCAAAAUGCUAAUGCUGUUGUCUUUGCAGAUUGGAUAUGUUAUCAAGCUGGGCACUGUGGGUGUGUGUGAGCGUGAAGUGUACCACCUGGGGUCAGCAGAAGUAUAAAACACAAAUGCAAAGUUGACUGACGGUUGAAGUCAAGUUAACCCAAGGUUCAUUCACCAGCUAGGUGUGUGCAGCAUGAUAAGGAUUUUUCAUUAAAUGUUAUUGGUUCAUCUCUCCAGAAGAUGAUGGCACUGCUUACAGUACGAAAGACUGACUGAACUUGUGUUGAACCUUUUCUUCUUUCUUUUGCUCGCACUACUAAAGCCCUGUUGUAAUGUUCGGGCUGUUCUCCUUGUGUUACUGUACACAGACAAUGUCUCUCAUAUCAGGCCGUCUCGUUCUCUUUGCCCAGUUCGCUUCGAUCUGCUUCGUCUCACCAGUUUGACAGUGCCAUGUAUUUUUUGCAACGGCUACAGCUUGUUGUAAGUUGACCUUGCUUCUAAAGUGAUGUGACAAUGCACCAACUGACUGGAAUGAGACACAGCCAUUGUCUCACUAUCAACUCACUGUGGUCAAUUAACUCAUUUUUACCCAUACCAUGUUACGCUAACAGCAGUGGACAAUCGCUGACUUUAUGGGAGAGAAGAACCUAUGAACAUAACAGCAGUUCAUGGAGGUAUCUUUGAGUGCUUUUGAUUUGUCUUACCUAUUCUUCCAUUAAGACUGGAAUCAAGCGUACAUGUCAACUAUUGAUAAUUUAAGUUACUCUUGUGUCAUGUUAAGCUGUCUAAUUUGGAGGAAAAAAAUGUAGCUUACUGAAAAAUAAAGAUUUAGGCACUGUUA